RNAcentral lists this ribosomal RNA (255 nucleotides) under uncultured bacterium. RNAcentral's name for it is "partial 16S ribosomal RNA". It matches the Rfam family "Bacterial small subunit ribosomal RNA", at positions 524 to 776 of the family's 1533-position model. The record is from RNAcentral.
UACGAAGGGGACUAGCGUUGUUCGGAAUCACUGGGCGUAAAGCGCACGUAGGCGGAUUUGUAAGUCAGGGGUGAAAUCCCGGGGCUCAACCUCGGAACUGCCUUUGAUACUGCGAGUCUUGAGUCCGAUAGAGGUGGGUGGAAUUCCUAGUGUAGAGGUGAAAUUCGUAGAUAUUAGGAAGAACACCAGUGGCGAAGGCGGCCCACCUGGAUCGGUACUGGACGCUGAGGUGCGAAAGCGUGGGGAGCAAACAGG